Mycena galericulata is the source of this 100-nucleotide non-coding RNA. NCBI's taxonomy places the organism in Eukaryota, Fungi, Basidiomycota, Agaricomycetes, Agaricales, Mycenaceae. The record is from the annotation of a GenBank genome assembly.
CACUCGGUAGCACACGGUGUGCAUCUGCAGGAUAUAUACGUUAAAGCGUCAAAUCAAAAAGUUUCCGCAGGAGGUCCCUGUUCGAUUCGGGGUCGAGUGG